CAGCCCACUCUCAGGACAUCCAGAGCAUUCACCUUUCCUCUUAGUGAAGGACAAGGUGCUGCACUUCUGCAAGGUGCUCUCCCCUCACAGGCAUGCACUGCACCAUCUUCUCCAGCAAAGGCAUGUGUCAGGAGCAGUCUGCUUUAUAAUCCACCAUUUCAAGGCAAUUUAAUAUUCAAUCUGUAUUUUGAAGAAGCAGGAGAAAUUCAGAAUGAGGAUUCAGAAUAAAAGAUUA
Long non-coding RNA from Ficedula albicollis (Collared flycatcher), 235 nucleotides. RefSeq lists it as uncharacterized. Lineage: Eukaryota; Metazoa; Chordata; Aves; Passeriformes; Muscicapidae. The record is from RefSeq and is a predicted model, not a curated record. The transcript has 3 exons.